Molecule: long non-coding RNA, 1559 nt
Organism: Neofelis nebulosa (Clouded leopard)
Lineage: Eukaryota; Metazoa; Chordata; Mammalia; Carnivora; Felidae
Exons: 3
Source: RefSeq, a predicted model, not a curated record
CCUUUUGGAGCACAGCAACCAGAGAGACACGCCCCCCCACCAAAACGCAAGAGCAACUCCGCCCUCCCAUUGGCUACGCCGCCUGUGACCCCGCCCCUGAGGAACCAGAGCGGGGGCCCAGGGGGCUGGGCCAGCCUCAGGGGAGGGGCCUUAAAGAGCCCCGGCGGUGUCCAGUGCGCCCAGAGCGGGCAGCGGAGACAAGCAAGAUAGGAAAGGUGAAGGAGCUAAUGUCACAGAGAACUGAAGUAAUUUGUCCGAGACCCUACAGCUUCUGGUGAACCAGGAUUUGAACCCAGGCAAUCGGCACCUGAAUGAGGGCUCCACCAUGCCACUGUACCCCCUCAGAGGGAAUCUUGCCCUUCCUCCCACCUCUUCCCCUCCUGCAAGGCUCCCUAGUCCACUCACCUUGCCGAAGGUCAAUUUCUGCCAGCUGCCCAUGAGUGUUGCCCACGAUCACUGAACUAAGGAGGAGACCAGAGGUGGCCUCUAGGACUGGCCGACGCUGGGGAGAGGCUGGAUCGUAGACACGGACCUGGAGAACACCGAAGCAUCACGAGAGCACCCUCACACCACAUAGCCGUCCCUGGGUUGUCCGUAUCUUCACUCCCUCCUUCGUACACUGCUUUCUUACUUAUGACCCACUCUUAGAGAAACUUUCUCAUCUGAAACGUACCCCCCUCUUGCUCUGAGUGUUAGGGAAGAGUGGGCAGAGGAGAUCUGCUUAGGGAGAGAGGUCCCCCAGGUUGGGGGGGUGACAGCAUUUCCAGGGUCCGCAUGUGUGGGCAUUCCACCCCUCCAUACUCCCAUCUUGGCAUGAAAAGGCAAGCCAGUCCAAUUUUCAGAGAGUAAUGAAUUUCAGGCAGAGAAAUUUAGCCUGAGCAACAGAGGAGAGAGUAAGCCCUCACAGUGUGUUUUGAACAGCGACAUAUCCCCAAGAUCAGAUUUCAGUAUGCAGGAGCAAAGGAAAUGGGACAAACACAGGGACCCAGUCCUGCCAGGGUCUUAGGACUUCAAAUGAGGCCAGCUGUAAAGAUCCCCAGUCGGGCCCGCCUGCCCUCCCUCCCUCCUAUAAAGCUGAGCUGAGGGGGCGCCUGGAUGGCUCAGUCGGUUGAGCGUCAGACUUUGGCUCAGGUCACAAUCUCACGGUCCUUGAGUUCGAGCCCUGCGUCGGGCUCUGUGCUGACAGCUCGGAGCCUGGAGCCUGCUUCAGAUUCUGUGUCUCCCUCUCUCUCUGCCCCUCCCCUGCUCAUGCUCUGUCUCUCUCUGUCUCAAAAAUAAAUGAAAACAUAAAAAAAAAAAAAAAAAAAGCCAAGGAGCCAAGGAUGCAGAGGAGUGGGUCAGGCCUGGGUCCCAAAGCAAAUCAGAGGCUGCAUCAAGACCAGAACCCAGUUCCCCUGACACCCAACCCAGUGUCCUCUCAUGACACCUGGACCGUGGGAUUCUACUGUGAAAGAAGCAGAAUUCUCCCUUCUUCUCUUCUCCUUUCCACAUUGGAAGCGAAGGAAGGGUCACAGUUCAGAAAACUCAUCCUACAAUGUACCAGAAGGUCUCUGGCUCAG